AUCAAAAACAUGGCUUCUUGGUAUACAAGGAUAGGAGGUCUGGCCUGCCCGGUGGAGGUAACUCUAAACGGUCGCAGCUACCACUGUGCGAAGGUAGCGUAAUAGGUCGUCCUUUAAUUGAGGGAAAGUAUGAAUGGUCGGAUGUUGGAAAGACUUUAUUAAGGGUGAAUAUUGAAAUUUACUUUUUAGUGCAAAGGCUAAAAUUCGUUUAUUAGACGAGAAGACCCUGUUGAGCUUGGUAAGUUUAAAUUCUACUGGAUUUAAGCAAUGUUUUUUCGGGGCUGAAAGGAAGGGAAAUUAAUGCCUUCUGUUAUUUAUUGAGAUCCAGCAUGGUUGAAAAGUGGAAGAUAGCUACCACAGGGAUAACAGCGCAAUCUUCCUGAUAAGGCCAUAUUUUAGGGAUGGUUUGCGACCUCGAUGUUGAAUCAGAAUUUCUAUUAGGUGUAGCAGCUUAGUAAGUGGGACUGUUCGUCCUUUAAAAUUCUACGUGAUCGG
RNAcentral lists this ribosomal RNA (495 nucleotides) under Moerella rutila. RNAcentral describes it as "partial 28S ribosomal RNA". It matches the Rfam family "Bacterial large subunit ribosomal RNA", at positions 1806 to 2608 of the family's 2925-position model. Lineage: Eukaryota; Metazoa; Mollusca; Bivalvia; Cardiida; Tellinidae. The record is from RNAcentral.